AAUAUUGGACAAUGGGUGCAACCCUGUUCCAGCCAUGCCUUGUGUGUGAAGAAGGUCUUCUGUUUGUAAAGCACAUUAUGUUGGGAGGAAAGGCUUUAGGUUAAUACUCUGAAGUUUUGACGGCACCAACAGAAUCAGCACCGGCUAACGCUGUGGUAGCAGCCGCGGUCAUACAGCGGGUGCAAGCGUUAAUCGGAAUUACUGGUCGUAAAGCGCGCGUAGGUGGUUCAGUAAGAUGGGUGUGAAAUCCCCGGGCUUAACCUGGGAACUGCUUUCAUAACUGCUGAGCUAGAGUACGGUAGAGGGUAGUGGAAUUUCCUGUGUAGCGGUGAAAUGCGUAGAUAUAGGAAGGAACACCAGUGGCGAAGGCGACUACCUGGACUGAUACUGACACUGAGGUGCGAAAGCGUGGGGAGCAAAC
Molecule: ribosomal RNA, 421 nt
Filed under: uncultured bacterium
Lineage: Bacteria
Description: partial 16S ribosomal RNA
Rfam family: Bacterial small subunit ribosomal RNA
Source: RNAcentral